RNAcentral lists this ribosomal RNA (1264 nucleotides) under metagenome. RNAcentral's name for it is "SSU rRNA". It matches the Rfam family "Eukaryotic small subunit ribosomal RNA", at positions 526 to 1783 of the family's 1831-position model. The record is from RNAcentral.
UAAACGGACCAUCGAGUAUCCAUUGGAGGGCAAGUCUGGUGCCAGCAGCUGCGGUAAUACCAGCUCCAAUAGCGUAUAUUAAAGUUGUUGCAGUUAAAAAGCUCGUAGUUGGACUUGUGUGCGCUGUCCGCGGGUGGCCUGCGCCCAAAAGGGCGUUUCGGUUCGGCCCCGGUGGCGCCUUGAAAUCUGCAGCUGGGGGGACGUUGGCCUUAACUGGUCGGCGACCGCACGCCGGCUGCUCGGUUACUGUGAGAAAAUUAGAGUGUUCAAGGCAGGCAUUGGGUGCAAUUGAAUACAUUAGCAUGGAAUAAUAAAAUAUGGCUCCUGCCGUAUUUUGUUGGUUUUGAUUGGUGGGAGUAAUGAUUGAUAGGGACGGUUGGGGGUGCUAGUAUUGAGCGGCCAGAGGUGAGAUUCAUGGAUUCGCUCAAGACUAACUUAUGCGAAAGCAUUCACCAAGGACGUCCUCUUUAAUCAAGAACGAAAGUUGGGGGAUCGAAGACGAUCAGAUACCGUCGUAGUCUCAACCAUAAACUAUGUCGACUUGGGAUCGGCGGUAGUUUUUUCAUUAAGACACUGUCGGGACCACGGGAGAAAUCAAAGUGUCUGGACUCUGGGGGAAGUAUGGUCGCAAGGCUGAAACUUGAAGGAAUUGACGGAAGGGCACCACCAGGAGUGGAGCCUGCGGCUUAAUUUGACCCAACACGGGGAAACUUACCAGGUCCAGAGAUGUAGAGGAUUGACAGAUUGAAGCUCUUUCUUGAUCACUUCGGUGGUGGUGCAUGGCCGUUCUUAGUUGGUGGAGUGAUUUGUCUGGUUAAUUCCGUUAACGAACGAGACCUCAGCCUGCUAGUGUAGUCGGCUGGAUUGCCUUUGGCGAUCCGUGAUUUCGACUUCUUAGAGGGACAAUCGACGCGCAGUCGAUGGAAGUUUGAGGCAAUAACAGGUCUGUGAUGGCCUUAGAUGUUCUGGGCCGCACGCGCGCUACACUGCUGGGCCCAGCGAGUUUUACUUGGCCGAGAGGCCCGGUUAAUCUUGUGAAAUCCCAGCGUGCUUGGGCUCGCCUCCUGCAACUGGAGGCGCCAACGAGGAAUUCCUAGUAGACGCAGGUCAUCAACCUGCAUCGAUUACGUCCCUGCCCUUUGUACACACCUCCCGUCGUUCCAUAAGAGUGAGGCAUCCGGUGAAUUCUCGGGAGAGCCUGGGCGUGGCCAGCAAUGGUCUGCUCGGGUUUGAACUUGCAUAAACUUGGUGCCUAUGAUUAGGG